This 72-nucleotide transfer RNA is filed under the name Camelus bactrianus (Bactrian camel). It matches the Rfam family "tRNA". Rfam says of the family: Transfer RNA (tRNA) molecules are approximately 80 nucleotides in length. Their secondary structure includes four short double-helical elements and three loops (D, anti-codon, and T loops). Lineage: Eukaryota; Metazoa; Chordata; Mammalia; Artiodactyla; Camelidae. The record is from Rfam by way of RNAcentral. RNAcentral also lists the same sequence under 2 other names.
GGGAGUAGGGCUCAGUGGUAGAGGGCGUGCUUAGCAUGCACGAAGUCCUGGGUUCCAUCUCCAGUACCUCCA